RNAcentral lists this ribosomal RNA (465 nucleotides) under uncultured Klebsiella sp. RNAcentral's name for it is "bacterial SSU rRNA". It matches the Rfam family "Bacterial small subunit ribosomal RNA", at positions 338 to 795 of the family's 1533-position model. The record is from RNAcentral. Lineage: Bacteria; Pseudomonadati; Pseudomonadota; Gammaproteobacteria; Enterobacterales; Enterobacteriaceae.
CCUACGGGGGGCUGCAGUGGGGAAUAUUGCACAAUGGGCGCAAGCCUGAUGCAGCCAUGCCGCGUGUGUGAAGAAGGCCUUCGGGUUGUAAAGCACUUUCAGCGGGGAGGAAGGCGGUGAGGUUAAUAACCUCAUCGAUUGACGUUACCCGCAGAAGAAGCACCGGCUAACUCCGUGCCAGCAGCCGCGGUAAUACGGAGGGUGCAAGCGUUAAUCGGAAUUACUGGGUGUAAAGCGCACGCAGGCGGUCUGUCAAGUCGGAUGUGAAAUCCCCGGGCUCAACCUGGGAACUGCAUUCGAAACUGGCAGGCUAGAGUCGUGUAGAGGGGGGUAGAAUUCCAGGUGUAGCGGUGAAAGGCGUAGAGAUCUGGAGGAAUACCGGUGGCGAAGGCGGCCCCCUGGACAAAGACUGACGCUCAGGUGCGAAAGCGUGGGGAGCAAACAGGAUUAGAUACCCGAGUAGUC